RNAcentral lists this ribosomal RNA (488 nucleotides) under uncultured bacterium. RNAcentral's name for it is "bacterial SSU rRNA". It matches the Rfam family "Bacterial small subunit ribosomal RNA", at positions 28 to 507 of the family's 1533-position model. The record is from RNAcentral.
GAUGAACGCUAGCGGCAGGCUUAACACAUGCAAGUCGAGGGGUAACAUAGAAAAGCUUGCUUUUCUGAUGACGACCGGCGCACGGGUGCGUAACGCGUAUACAACCUACCUUUUAGCGGGGAAUAGCCCAGGGAAACUUGGAUUAAUGCCCCAUAGUAUAUAGACUUCUCCUGAAGUUUAUAUUUAAACAUUUAUGGCUAUUAGAUGGGUAUGCGUCCUAUUAGUUAGUUGGUAAGGUAACGGCUUACCAAGGCAGCGAUAGGUAGGGGUCCUGAGAGGGAGAUCCCCACACUGGUACUGAGACACGGACCAGACUCCUACGGGAGGCAGCAGUGAGGAAUAUUGGACAAUGGGCGAGAGCCUGAUCCAGCCAUGCCGCGUGCAGGAAGACUGCCCUAUGGGUUGUAAACUGCUUUUACAGAGGAAGAACCACCCCCACGUGUGGGGGUUUGACGGUACUCUGCGAAUAAGGAUCGGCUAACUCCGUG